Molecule: ribosomal RNA, 408 nt
Filed under: uncultured Diversispora
Lineage: Eukaryota; Fungi; Glomeromycota; Glomeromycetes; Diversisporales; Diversisporaceae
Description: partial 28S ribosomal RNA
Source: RNAcentral
GAGAGUUAAAUAGUACGUGAAAUUGUUGAAAGGGAAACGAUUGAAGUCAGUCAUGCUAGUGAAAAAUCAGUUUGACGGGUUUUGAGUUCGGGAGUAGAGGCAGGGUCAAACCGUUUCUCUUUUGGACUUGGGAUUUGUCGGAUGUACUUUUUCUUUGGCAGGUCAGCGUCGGUUUCGGAGGUUGCAAAAUACUUGGGGAAAAGUAGCUCUGCUUCGGGAGAGUAUUAUAGACCCUGGGGGAUGCAGCCUGUGGGACCGAGGAUUGCAGCAAAUGCCUUUGGCUUGUCGCCUGAUCUCUGGAUGUUACCUUCCUUGUGACAACAUUCUUGCCACCAGUGAGUACUGAUGCCCAUUAGGUUAGAACGAUCAAAAAUUUGCUAAGGAUGCUGACGUAAUGGCUUUAAACGA